This 370-nucleotide ribosomal RNA is filed under the name uncultured bacterium. RNAcentral's name for it is "bacterial SSU rRNA". It matches the Rfam family "Bacterial small subunit ribosomal RNA", at positions 354 to 719 of the family's 1533-position model. The record is from RNAcentral.
UGAGGGAAUAUUUGGGGUCAAUGGGCGGAAGCCUGAACCAGCCAAGUAGCGUGAGGGAAGACUGCCCUAUGGGUUGUAAACCUCUUUUGUUUGGGAGCAAAGUGCGCCACGUGUGGUGUAUUGCGAGUACCAUUCGAAUAAGCAUCGGCUAAUUCCGUGCCAGCAGCCGCGGUAAUACGGAAGAUGCGAGCGUUAUCCGGAUUUAUUGGGUUUAAAGGGAGCGUAGGCGGAGCGUCAAGUCAGCUGUGAAAUGUCGCGGCUCAACCGUGGAGCUGCAGUUGAAACUGGCGUUCUUGAGUAUACAUAAGGAUGGUGAAUUCGUGGUGUAGCGGUGAAAUGCUUAGAUAUCACGAAGAACUCCGAUUGCGAA